UUCCUGUCUUUUGGAACUCUCAGUCUGCCU
RNAcentral lists this non-coding RNA (30 nucleotides) under Rattus norvegicus (Norway rat). Lineage: Eukaryota; Metazoa; Chordata; Mammalia; Rodentia; Muridae. The record is from RNAcentral.